Molecule: transfer RNA, 75 nt
Filed under: Limisphaera ngatamarikiensis
Lineage: Bacteria; Pseudomonadati; Verrucomicrobiota; Verrucomicrobiia; Limisphaerales; Limisphaeraceae
Also listed under: 9 other names
Description: tRNA-Val
Rfam family: tRNA
About the family: Transfer RNA (tRNA) molecules are approximately 80 nucleotides in length. Their secondary structure includes four short double-helical elements and three loops (D, anti-codon, and T loops).
Source: RNAcentral
GCGCGCUUAGCUCAGCGGUAGAGCAUCAGUAUCACACACUGGGGGUCGCAGGUUCAAAUCCUGCAGCGCGCACCA